UAAGUUGGCCGGAUGGUCGCAGUUUUGAAUGAAACUGAGGAAAGUCCGGGCUCCACAGGGCAGGGUGCUGGGUAAUACCCAGUGGAGGUGACUCCCAGGCAAGUGCCACAGAAAAGAUACCGCUGUUUUUAACAGUAAGGGUGAAAAGGUGAGGUAAAAGCUCACCAGAGUUCAGGUGACUGGACUGCUAGGUAAACCCCACCUGGAGUAAGUCCAAAUAGAGAGGAAAUAAAGCUGCCCGCUUUUCCUCCGGGUAAGGACGCUUGACGGCUAUAGGUAACUAUAGCUGCAGAUAGAUGACCAUUUAAGACAGAACCCGGCUUACAGGCCAACUUACCAG
RNAcentral lists this RNase P RNA (340 nucleotides) under Halonatronomonas betaini. Its description in RNAcentral is "Bacterial RNase P class A". It matches the Rfam family "Bacterial RNase P class A". From Rfam's summary of the family: Ribonuclease P (RNase P) is a ubiquitous endoribonuclease, found in archaea, bacteria and eukarya as well as chloroplasts and mitochondria. Its best characterised activity is the generation of mature 5'-ends of tRNAs by cleaving the 5'-leader elements of precursor-tRNAs. Lineage: Bacteria; Bacillati; Bacillota; Clostridia; Halanaerobiales; Halarsenatibacteraceae. The record is from Rfam by way of RNAcentral.